GUUGGUGACAGCGGAGGGAU
Molecule: ribosomal RNA, 20 nt
Filed under: Microcera rubra
Lineage: Eukaryota; Fungi; Ascomycota; Sordariomycetes; Hypocreales; Nectriaceae
Description: partial 18S ribosomal RNA
Source: RNAcentral